RNAcentral lists this unclassified non-coding RNA (277 nucleotides) under fungal sp. Its description in RNAcentral is "partial internal transcribed spacer region". The stretch from base 1 to 46 matches the Rfam family "Eukaryotic small subunit ribosomal RNA", at positions 1786 to 1831 of the family's 1831-position model. The record is from RNAcentral. Lineage: Eukaryota; Fungi.
AAGUCGUAACAAGGUUUCCGUAGGUGAACCUGCGGAAGGAUCAUUAUUGAAUGAAUCUAGAGUUGGUUGUCGCUGGCCCUGUCAAAAGGGGCAUGUGCACGCCUUCUCUUUUCAUCCACACACCCCUGUGCACUUGUGAGACGGGGGGGGGAGGAGGCAUUUAUUUGCCAAAGUCCUCCCGUCUACUUAAUCACACAAACUCAUUGUACUUGAACUGAAUGUAAUUGAUGUAACGCAUCAUUUGAACUAAGUUUCAACAACGGAUCUCUUGGCUCUC